CGUGAUGUUUUGGGAUUGUCUUGAAUCUGUGAUUUGGGAAUUUUGGUUUUGAGUGGAAAUUUUUCAUAGAUGAUUGGGGGUUUUCAGAAAAAAAUUGAAAUCAUCACACAUGUUUUCUCAGUUUCCUUGUAACAAAAUAAACCACUAGUAUUUUAGAUCAUGUUUUCUGAAUUAUGUCAUCAAUGGCUGUAGGAAGAUUUACGCAUCAAGUUAUAAAAUUUAGUUACAUUUAUGCAUUUUCAGGUUGUUUGAUACUGCAGUCCAAUCUCUUACACAGAAAUGCCUGUAGGAUGAUACUAGUUGGUCUUGUUUUGCUUGACAUUUUUUUAAGUAAUUUGCUAUUGCAUUGGAGAUGUUUUACCUAACAAGUUAAUAUUGUUUUCAUUUGAGUAAUGCACCAGUUUAUGCAAUGGUGAGAUUACUGUUAUCACAUUAUUCAACAAAGUUAUAUUUCAGUUUUAUGUAUUAGGCAAUGUGAUAGUAACUUCACCGUCACAUAGGCUAAUGCUAAAUACCAAAAAAAUUGGAUAGUAUUACUCUUAUCAUUUCAGUUCUUGCAUUUCUGUGUAGCAUGCCGGGAAAGAACUCCGGACUUUGUUAUAACUGUAGAGGGAAGGGUCACUUGUUUGCGGAUUGCCCAAACAAAAGGCGAUGCCCCUUGUGUAAAUGUGGAAUUGUGAAGUGCUUUGAGGUCAAGAGGGAGACAAAGAACAAGGGAAGAUUGUUCGAGUGCUGCAGUGCUAAUUGUAAAUAUUGGGCAUGGGUCGAUGAGGGAGAAUCAAGCAGUGGGUCAAGUAAUGUUACCACGAACUCGAAUAAUCAUGCAGCACUUGAAAGAUGUUCAGCAGUUCUCUCGCAUGUUCCAGUCUCUUUGUCACGUGGUCUCUAAGGAACGAAACAUUGAGAUUUCUUUAAAUGUGACAAUAAGGAAUGGCAACGAAAGUGCGGAAGUGGAUGUGAAAGGAAAGGGGCCAGCAUGAUUUGUGGUUAGCUGAAUAAGUGAUUAGUGUAGUUGAUGUAUUUUGUUAAUAUUGGUGUUUGCACUAAGGUGUUGGCCAGAAAAUUAUUCCUCGCAAACGGUCAUGUUGUUGUCUUAAUGUGAUUAUUUUGGCUUGAAGUUAUUUUUAUGCAAAGCUAUUGUGUGUGAAAUAUUAUUUUUGGUUACCGUACAUAAA
RNAcentral lists this long non-coding RNA (1175 nucleotides) under Olea europaea subsp. europaea. Lineage: Eukaryota; Viridiplantae; Streptophyta; Magnoliopsida; Lamiales; Oleaceae. The record is from RNAcentral.